CGGGACCGCUCGGCGGCCGCCAGCGCGGGCGGAGCCGCCGCCUGGACACAGGGCGGGGCGCGGGGCCUGACCCUCAGGGCGACCGCAGCCCGGGCCGGCGCGGGGGGCGAGCAGCCGGGCGUGGGCGCCCCGACUCUCGCCCUGCCACCCGGGAACCCCGGACACGCGACCCCGACAGCCCAGGCUCCGGCGCCCGCGAAAGACACAUCGGACCUAUUCCGAAAGACAAUUUGAUGCUGGGCCUGGGGCUGGAGGACAUGAGGCAUCAGGGGACUUGACAGGAGAUCAGUCUGGAAAGCUUAAAACACCAUGACUAACAUAGUUGUUCACUAUGGCAUAUGGCAUAUACCCGCUAAAGAGGAGCAGCGUCAUGGAGUCACCUUUCUGCACAGAAGUCUCUGGGCCUUUCUGUCAUUAUAGCACAAGUCACUGCAAGUAUUCGUGAAUAAGUGUCCAGGAAGAAAAGACUUCCACCAGUCACCCCAGACAAAGGGCUGUCAUGGGGGAGACUGUCUGGUAGCAGGAGGCGGAGGCAGAGGCAGCUCCGGGCAGUUGGCUGUUCCCAGAAGGCCACACGCUGCUCUUGACUUGGCUUCUUCCAGCCCUAUUGCCUGCUGGCUGGCACCUGCCCCCUUGUGUUGUCUGCCCCUCAUCACUGGCAUUCUUCAAGUUUAUACGUGGGACGCCUACCACAGCAUGGCUGCCAAGCAGUGCCGUGUCCGCACCCGGGAUCCGAACCAGCGAACCCCGGGCCGCCGAGAAGCGGAACGUGCGAACUUAACCGCUGCGCCACCGGGCCGGCCCCAUCACCUGGAAAAUUUGAAAGGAGAUUCCUACUACUUUAAAAGUACAUCUCAUUUCUGGAUCUACUCACCAUGAAUUAAUAUCUUUUUAUUAAACCUUAUAUUAUCUCAUGAAAAGUGUGAUCAUAUUGCAUUUUUUGCUACUUUCGUUAAAGGUAUUAAUGUAGACACUGAAAAUACACCACAGAUUUUGUAAUCCUGCUUUAGUGCUUAUUUUUUCAUAUUUAUAUGCCAGGAAGUGGUCCCCCAGCCUCACGUCCUUGGUCUGGUUUUAGGGUCAGCCUGUGGCUAGGCUGCUCUGGGUGGCUCAGAGGUGGAC
RNAcentral lists this long non-coding RNA (1122 nucleotides) under Equus asinus (donkey). RNAcentral's name for it is "lncRNA (ENSEASG00005038216.1)". The record is from RNAcentral. Lineage: Eukaryota; Metazoa; Chordata; Mammalia; Perissodactyla; Equidae.